UCGUAGGCGGUUUGUCACGUCUGUCGUGAAAGUCCGGGGCUUAACCCCGGAUCUGCGGUGGGUACGGGCAGACUAGAGUGCAGUAGGGGAGACUGGAAUUCCUGGUGUAGCGGUGGAAUGCGCAGAUAUCAGGAGGAACACCGAUGGCGAAGGCAGGUCUCUGGGCUGUAACUGACGCUGAGGAGCGAAAGCAUGGGGAGCGAACAGGAUUAGAUACCCUGGUAGUCCAUGCCGUAAACGUUGGACACUAGGUGUGGGGACCAUUCCACGGUUUCCGCGCCGCAGCUAACGCAUUAAGUGCCCCGCCUGGGGAGUACGGCCGCAAGGCUAAAACUCAAAGGAAUUGACGGGGGCCCGCACAAGCGGCGGAGCAUGCGGAUUAAUUCGAUGCAACACGAAGAACCUUACCAAGGCUUGACAUGUUUUCGACCGCCGUGGAGACACGGUUUCCCCUUUGGGGCGGAUUCACAGGUGGUGCAUGGUUGUCGUCAGCUCGUGUCGUGAGAUGUUGGGUUAAGUCCCGCAACGAGCGCAACCCUCGUUCCAUGUUGCCAGCACGUAGUGGUGGGGACUCAUGGGAGACUGCCGGGGUCAACUCGGAGGAAGGUGAGGACGACGUCAAAUCAUCAUGCCCCUUAUGUCUUGGGCUUCACGCAUGCUACAAUGGCCGGUACAAUGGGUUGCGAUACUGUGAGGUGGAGCUAAUCCCAAAAAGCCGGUCUCAGUUCGGAUUGGGGUCUGCAAC
RNAcentral lists this ribosomal RNA (745 nucleotides) under uncultured bacterium. RNAcentral describes it as "bacterial SSU rRNA". It matches the Rfam family "Bacterial small subunit ribosomal RNA", at positions 569 to 1311 of the family's 1533-position model. The record is from RNAcentral.